AUACUUAGUUGGCAGGAAAAUACUAUGAUCAUGAAGGUGGUUUCCCCAGGGUAACGCUCACCCAUUGCAUUCCUGGUGUGCUGAUCCCUGGAAUUUCCCCAAAUGUUGGAAAUUCAACUGCAUAGUUUGUGGUAGUGGGGGAAUGCGUUCGUGCUUAUA
Suncus etruscus (white-toothed pygmy shrew) is the source of this 159-nucleotide small nuclear RNA. RefSeq annotates it as U1 spliceosomal RNA. Lineage: Eukaryota; Metazoa; Chordata; Mammalia; Eulipotyphla; Soricidae. The transcript has a single exon. The record is from RefSeq and is a predicted model, not a curated record.